Molecule: long non-coding RNA, 1146 nt
Filed under: Ursus maritimus (polar bear)
Lineage: Eukaryota; Metazoa; Chordata; Mammalia; Carnivora; Ursidae
Description: lncRNA (ENSUMAG00000012966.1)
Source: RNAcentral
CGCCCAGCCUUGUGGGAGGGGCUGCAGAUGGCGGGCACAUGCCCGGUGGGGCACGGGCUCCAGGGUGGGUGCUGCGCGGUGCCCCGCGUCCUCUGGUUUUCUGACUUCUUUCUCCUCUCUUCUUCACUCCUGUCUCUCUUCUCCCCACCCCUGGGCUCUCCCACCUUCCCCUGGGGCUGACGAGGUCCCUGCCCGGCACGUCCGGCCAGCCGGCCCCCGAGAUGCGAUGUGCCAGAGCAGUGCCCGGGCCCGGCCGCCGCUGAUCCGCCACCUUGACCCCCGCCCGUCUCUCCCCCAGGGUGAACCAGCUGGUGAUGCCGCCUGCAUCCGUCAAAGUCUGAGGCCGUGCCUCUGGGACCGCGAAGAGCCCUCAUUGUCAGCCUACUUGGGAGGCGUCCCACGGCAUCCCGGCCCUGCUGGACAGUCUCGAAGCUUUCUGUGUGACCCAAGGCUGGGCACCCACCCUCUCUGGUCUGGGGCUGUGGAGUGGCCAUGGCUCCAAGAGGCUGUGUCCUCAACUAGCGUGGAAGGCUGUGUCUGGGGGAGCUGUGCAGCUGGACAGACUCCCAGCCCCAGGGCCAGGCUGCAGACCCCCUGGGGCCCGGGACAAGGACAGCCCCCACCGGGUAUGUGGGGAGAGCAUGGCCUGUCCCCACCUUACGGGGUCCCAGGCAAGCCUCUGCCCUCCCCAGAGCGUGGGGCCAGGCGGCUGGACUUCCCCACAUGGCAGCUCUGAAAACCCGGCGACUCCUGGACUACAGGGAGGAGGUGGUCCAGGCCUCAGGGCAGUACUUUAGGCUCUGGGAUGUGGGGACGACAACGACCUUGGGGAUGAUGGACUCAACUGGGCAGAGCCAGGGGCCCGUGACUGGGCGGCGCUUCCCAGCCUGGCUGGUUCCCCCAGAGGACGCUAGUCUCUGCUGCCUGGCCGGCUCUCUGCCUGCAGGUCCCCCCUCACCCCAGUGGGGCUAUCCGCUGGGGAGCUGGCAUCUCCAGGGGUGAAGGCCCUGGCGGCAGCUGCACCCCACCUGUGCCCCCAGACCUGAGCUCCAGGGCCAGCCUGCCUCCACGCCCCCCCACCCCAGCAGCCUGGAACAGACUCCUGCCCCCAGGCUGGGCCCUUUCCAGAGGCAGGGCCCCGGGGAC